AGAGUUUGAUCCUGGCUCAGGACGAACGCUGGCGGCGUGCCUAACACAUGCAAGUCGAGCGAGUGAAUCUCCUUCGGGAGUGAAGCUAGCGGCGGACGGGUGAGUAACACGUGGGCAACCUGCCUCAUAGAGGGGAAUAGCCUUCCGAAAGGAAGAUUAAUACCGCAUAAGAUUGUAGCUUCGCAUGAAGUAGCAAUUAAAGGAGCAAUCCGCUAUGAGAUGGGCCCGCGGCGCAUUAGCUAGUUGGUGAGGUAACGGCUCACCAAGGCGACGAUGCGUAGCCGACCUGAGAGGGUGAUCGGCCACAUUGGGACUGAGACACGGCCCAGACUCCUACGGGAGGCAGCAGUGGGGAAUAUUGCACAAUGGGGGAAACCCUGAUGCAGCAACGCCGCGUGAGUGAGGAAGGUCUUCGGAUCGUAAAGCUCUGUUGUAAGAGAAAAACGGCACUCAUAGGGAAUGAUGAGUGAGUGAUGGUAUCUUACCAGAAAGUCACGGCUAACUACGUGCCAGCAGCCGCGGUAAUACGUAGGUGGCGAGCGUUAUCCGGAAUGAUUGGGCGUAAAGGGUGCGUAGGUGGCAGAUCAAGUCUGGAGUAAAAGGUAUGGGCUCAACCCGUACUGGCUCUGGAAACUGAUCAGCUAGAGAACAGAAGAGGACGGCGGAACUCCAUGUGUAGCGGUAAAAUGCGUAGAUAUAUGGAAGAACACCGGUGGCGAAGGCGGCCGUCUGGUCUGGAUACUGACACUGAAGCACGAAAGCGUGGGGAGCAAAUAGGAUUAGAUACCCUAGUAGUCCACGCCGUAAACGAUGAGAACUAGGUGUUGGGGGAAUAACUCAGUGCCGCAGUUAACGCAGUAAGUUCUCCGCCUGGGGAGUAUGCACGCAAGUGUGAAACUCAAAGGAAUUGACGGGGGCCCGCACAAGCGGUGGAGUAUGUGGUUUAAUUCGAAGCAACGCGAAGAACCUUACCAGGCCUUGACAUCCCUUGCAGAGGUAUAGAGAUAUAUCCGAGGUUAUCAAGGAGACAGGUGGUGCAUGUUUGUCGUCAGCUCGUGUCGUGAGAUGUUGGGUUAAGUCCCGCAACGAGCGCAACCCUUAUUGUUAGUUGCUACCAUUUAGUUGAGCACUCUAGCGAGACUGCCCGGGUUAACCGGGAGGAAGGUGGGGAUGACGUCAAAUCAUCAUGCCCCUUAUGUCUAGGGCUACACACGUGCUACAAUGGCAAGUACAAAGAGAAGCAAGACCGCGAGGUGGAGCAAAACUCAAAAACUUGUCUCAGUUCGGAUUGUAGGCUGAAACUCGCCUACAUGAAGCUGGUGUUGCUAGUAAUCGCGAAUCAGCAUGUCGCGGUGAAUACGUUCCCGGGCCUUG
RNAcentral lists this ribosomal RNA (1374 nucleotides) under uncultured bacterium. RNAcentral's name for it is "partial 16S ribosomal RNA". It matches the Rfam family "Bacterial small subunit ribosomal RNA", at positions 8 to 1383 of the family's 1533-position model. The record is from RNAcentral.